CUACGGGAUGCUGCAGUGGGGAAUAUUGCACAAUGGAGGAAACUCUGAUGCAGCAACGCCGCGUGGAGGAUGACACUUUUCGGAGCGUAAACUCCUUUUAUAUAGGAAGAAGAUGACGGUACUAUAUGAAUAAGCGCCGGCUAACUCCGUGCCAGCAGCCGCGGUAAUACGGAGGGCGCAAGCGUUACUCGGAAUCACUGGGCGUAAAGAGCGUGUAGGCGGAUUAAAAAGUCAGAAGUGAAAUCCUAUAGCUUAACUAUAGAACUGCUUCUGAAACUCUUAAUCUAGAAUAUGGGAGAGGUAGAUGGAAUUUCUGGUGUAGAGGUAAAAUCCGUAGAGAUCAGAAGGAAUACCGAUUGCGAAGGCGAUCUACUAGAACACUAUUGACGCUGAGACGCGAAAGCGUGGGGAGCAAACAGGAUUAGAUACCCCUGUAGUC
This 439-nucleotide ribosomal RNA is filed under the name uncultured bacterium. RNAcentral's name for it is "partial 16S ribosomal RNA". It matches the Rfam family "Bacterial small subunit ribosomal RNA", at positions 339 to 795 of the family's 1533-position model. The record is from RNAcentral.